This 1935-nucleotide ribosomal RNA is filed under the name freshwater metagenome. RNAcentral's name for it is "bacterial LSU rRNA". It matches the Rfam family "Bacterial large subunit ribosomal RNA", at positions 1 to 1984 of the family's 2925-position model. The record is from RNAcentral.
UUAAGUGACUAAGCGUACACGGUGGAUGCCUUGGCAGUCAGAGGCGAUGAAGGACGUGCUAACCUGCGAAAAGCUGUGGGAAGUCGGUAAGAGACGUAAGACCCACAGAUGUCCGAAUGGGGAAACCCAGUGAGUUUACUCACUAUCGUAUGAUGAAUACAUAGUCAUACGAGGCGAACCGGGAGAACUGAAACAUCUAAGUACCCCGAGGAAAAGAAAUCAACCGAGAUCCCCUUAGUAGCGGCGAGCGAAAGGGGGCCAGCCCUUAAGUUGAUAGCAAUGCAGUGGAAUCAUCUGGAAAUAUGAGCGAUACAGGGUGAUAGCCCCGUACACGAAGCGUUGUUAUGAAUGAAAACGAGUAGGACGGGACACGAGACAUCCUGUUUGAAGAUGGGGGGACCAUCCUCCAAGGCUAAAUACUCCUGACUGACCGAUAGCGAACCAGUACCGUGAGGGAAAGGCGAAAAGAACCCCUGUUAGGGGAGUGAAAUAGAACCUGAAACCGUGUACGUACAAGCAGUGGGAGCCUCCUUGUGGGGUGACUGCGUACCUUUUGUAUAAUGGGUCAGCGACUUACGUUUUGUAGCGAGGUUAACCGAAUAGGGGAGCCGUAGGGAAACCGAGUCUUAACUGGGCGAAUAGUUGCAAGGCGUAGACCCGAAACCCGGCGAUCUAUCCAUGUGCAGGUUGAAGGUUGGGUAACACUAACUGGAGGACCGAACCCACUAAUGUUGAAAAAUUAGGGGAUGACGUGUGGAUAGGGGUGAAAGGCUAAUCAAGCCGGGAGAUAUCUGGUUCUCCUCGAAAGCUAUUUAGGUAGCGCCUCGAGCGAAUACCAUUGGGGGUAGAGCACUGUUAAGGCUAGGGGGUCAUCCCGACUUACCAACCCUUUGCAAACUCCGAAUACCAAUGAGUACUACUCGGGAGACACACGACGGGUGCUAACGUCCGCCGUGAAAAGGGAAACAACCCAGACCACCAGCUAAGGUCCCAAAGUCAUGGUUAAGUGGAAAACGAUGUGGGAAGGCAUAGACAGCUAGGAGGUUGGCUUAGAAGCAGCCACCCUUUAAAGAAAGCGUAAUAGCUCACUAGUCGAGUCGGCCUGCGCGGAAGAUGUAACGGGGCUCAAACCAUGCACCGAAGCUGUGGACUUGCAUUAUGUGCAAGUGGUAGAGGAGCGUUCUGUAAGCCUGCGAAGGUAGAUUGUGAAGUCUGCUGGAGGUAUCAGAAGUGCGAAUGCUGACAUAAGUAACGAUAAGGGGAGUGAAAAACUUCCCCGCCGGAAGACCAAGGGUUCCUAUCCCAUGCUAAUCAGGGUAGGGUAAGUCGGCCCCUAAGGCGAGGGCGAAAGCCGUAGUCGAUGGGAAACGGGUUAAUAUUCCCGUACCGACAGUACUGCGAUGGGGGGACGGAGAAAGCUAGGCAAGCAUGGCGUUGGUAGUCCAUGUGAAAGUACGUAGGCAGGGGGAUUAGGCAAAUCCGGUUCCCUAAUGCUGAGAUACGAGACGAGCCACUACGGUGGUGAAGUUGCUGAUGCUACGCUUCCAGGAAAAGCCUCUAAGCUUCAGGUACUGUUGACCGUACUCGAAACCGACACAGGUGGUCAGGUAGAGAAUACCAAGGCGCUUGAGAGAACUCUGGUGAAGGAACUAGGCAAAAUAGUACCGUAACUUCGGGAGAAGGUACGCUCUCUAAUGUGAAAGCCUUGCGCUGUAAGCAUCGGAGAGUCGCAGUGACCAGCUGGCUGCAACUGUUUAUUAAAAACACAGCACUCUGCAAACUCGAGAGAGGACGUAUAGGGUGUGACACCUGCCCGGUGCCGGAAGGUUAAUUGAUGGGGUUAGCGCAAGCGAAGCUCUUGAUCGAAGCCCCGGUAAACGGCGGCCGUAACUAUAACGGUCCUAAGGUAGCGAAAUUCCUUGUCGGGUAAGUUCC